GACGAACGCUGGCGGCGUGCUUAACACAUGCAAGUCGAGCGGUAAGGCCCUUUCGGGGGUACGACGAGCGGCGAACGGGUGAGUAACACGUGGGUGACCUGCCCUCAGCUCUGGGAUAAGCCUGGGAAACUAGGGUCUAAUACCGGAUAUGACCCCAUGACGCAUGUCGUGGGGUGGAAAGCCUUGUGCGGCUGAGGAUGGGCCCGCGGCCUAUCAGCUUGUUGGUGGGGUGAUGGCCUACCAAGGCGACGACGGGUAGCCGGCCUGAGAGGGCGACCGGCCACACUGGGACUGAGACACGGCCCAGACUCCUACGGGAGGCAGCAGUGGGGAAUCUUGCGCAAUGGGCGAAAGCCUGACGCAGCGACGCCGCGUGAGGGAUGACGGCCU
This 390-nucleotide ribosomal RNA is filed under the name uncultured bacterium. RNAcentral describes it as "bacterial SSU rRNA". It matches the Rfam family "Bacterial small subunit ribosomal RNA", at positions 28 to 417 of the family's 1533-position model. The record is from RNAcentral.